UACAGAGGUGGCAAGCGUUGUUCGGAAUUACUGGGCGUAAAGGGCGCGUAGGCGGCCUACUAAGUCAGACGUGAAAUCCCCCGGCUUAACCUGGGAACUGCGUCUGAUACUGAAAGGCUUGAGGAUGGGAGAGGGAUGUAGAAUUCCAGGUGUAGCGGUGAAAUGCGUAGAUAUCUGGAGGAACACCGGUGGCGAAGGCGGCAUCCUGGACCGAUACUGACGCUGAGGAGCGAAAGCCAGGGGAGCAAACGGG
This 253-nucleotide ribosomal RNA is filed under the name uncultured bacterium. RNAcentral's name for it is "partial 16S ribosomal RNA". It matches the Rfam family "Bacterial small subunit ribosomal RNA", at positions 524 to 776 of the family's 1533-position model. The record is from RNAcentral.